CGGGCUUAACACAUGCAAGUCGAGGGGCAGCAUGGUCUUUGCUUGCUAAGGCCGAUGGCGACCGGCGCACGGGUGAGUAACACGUAUCCAACCUGCCGUCUACUCUUGGACAGCCUUCUGAAAGGAAGAUUAAUACAAGAUGGCAUCAUGAGUCCGCAUGUUCACAUGAUUAAAGGUAUUCCGGUAGACGAUGGGGAUGCGUUCCAUUAGAUAGUAGGCGGGGUAACGGCCCACCUAGUCUUCGAUGGAUAGGGGUUCUGAGAGGAAGGUCCCCCACAUUGGAACUGAGACACGGUCCAAACUCCUACGGGAGGCAGCAGUGAGGAAUAUUGGUCAAUGGGCGAGAGCCUGAACCAGCCAAGUAGCGUGAAGGAUGACUGCCUUAUGGGUUGUAAACUUCUUUUAUAAAGGAAUAAAGUCGGGUAUGGAUACCCGUUUGCAUGUACUUUAUGAAUAAGGAUCGGCUAACUCCGUGCCAGCAGCCGCGGUAAUACGGAGGAUUCGAGCGUUAUCCGGAUUUAUUGGGUUUAAAGGGAGCGUAGAUGGAUGUUUAAGUCAGUUGUGAAAGUUUGCGGCUCAACCGUAAAAUUGCAGUUGAUACUGGAUAUCUUGAGUGCAGUUGAGGCAGGCGGAAUUCGUGGUGUAGCGGUGAAAUGCUUAGAUAUCACGAAGAACUCCGAUUGCGAAGGCAGCCUGCUAAGCUGCAACUGACAUUGAGGCUCGAAAGUGUGGGUAUCAAACAGGAUUAGAUACCCUGGUAGUCCACACGGUAAACGAUGAAUACUCGCUGUUUGCGAUAUACGGCAAGCGGCCAAGCGAAAGCGUUAAGUAUUCCACCUGGGGAGUACGCCGGCAACGGUGAAACUCAAAGGAAUUGACGGGGGCCCGCACAAGCGGAGGAACAUGUGGUUUAAUUCGAUGAUACGCGAGGAACCUUACCCGGGCUUAAAUUGCAGAUGAAUUACGGUGAAAGCCGUAAGCCGCAAGGCAUCUGUGAAGGUGCUGCAUGGUUGUCGUCAGCUCGUGCCGUGAGGUGUCGGCUUAAGUGCCAUAACGAGCGCAACCCUUGUUGUCAGUUACUAACAGGUUCUGCUGAGGACUCUGACAAGACUGCCAUCGUAAGAUGUGAGGAAGGUGGGGAUGACGUCAAAUCAGCACGGCCCUUACGUCCGGGGCUACACACGUGUUACAAUGGGGGGUACAGAGGGCCGCUACCACGCGAGUGGAUGCCAAUCCCAAAAACCUCUCUCAGUUCGGACUGGAGUCUGCAACCCGACUCCACGAAGCUGGAUUCGCUAGUAAUCGCGCAUCAGCCACGGCGCGGUGAAUACGUUCCCGGGCCUUGUACACACCGCCCGUCAAGCCAUGGGAGCCGGGGGUACCUGAAGUGCGUAACCGCGAGGAGCGCCCUAGGGUAAAACUGGUGACUGGG
Molecule: ribosomal RNA, 1432 nt
Filed under: uncultured organism
Description: 16S ribosomal RNA
Rfam family: Bacterial small subunit ribosomal RNA
Source: RNAcentral